Molecule: non-coding RNA, 345 nt
Organism: Agelaius phoeniceus (red-winged blackbird)
Lineage: Eukaryota; Metazoa; Chordata; Aves; Passeriformes; Icteridae
Source: RefSeq, a predicted model, not a curated record
UUGCAGGUGCUGUCGCUGCCCUAGGCAUGCCAAGGAACAGAGGAGGGCAGGUAUCUUCUGGGCACCCUCUGGAGUCAAAUCAAGAUUUGAGGUACCCUGAGGAGCCUCGUAGCCAAAGGUUGGAAACAACAGCACCGAGGCACACACGGAGCACAUUUCACCAUCCACGUCCGACCGAGGAUGGAUUUUGUCUGCUCCUUUUCCAAAAGCUAAGUGUCGGGGCCAGCAGUUGGGAGAAGGGGAAAAACCUUUACUAUCACAGAGGGCAAUUUGAUGUCAGCUUAGCGGAGAGGUCCCCGAGGCUACCGAUUUCCCCAGAACCUACCAACUGACGUCAAGGAGCGC